RNAcentral lists this transfer RNA (88 nucleotides) under Treponema sp. RNAcentral describes it as "tRNA-Ser". It matches the Rfam family "tRNA". Rfam says of the family: Transfer RNA (tRNA) molecules are approximately 80 nucleotides in length. Their secondary structure includes four short double-helical elements and three loops (D, anti-codon, and T loops). Further hydrogen bonds mediate the characteristic L-shaped molecular structure. tRNAs have two regions of fundamental functional importance: the anti-codon, which is responsible for specific mRNA codon recognition, and the 3' end, to which the tRNAs corresponding amino acid is attached (by aminoacyl-tRNA synthetases). tRNAs cope with the degeneracy of the genetic code in two manners: having more than one tRNA (with a specific anti-codon) for a particular amino acid; and 'wobble' base-pairing, i.e. permitting non-standard base-pairing at the 3rd anti-codon position. RNAcentral also lists the same sequence under 2 other names. Lineage: Bacteria; Pseudomonadati; Spirochaetota; Spirochaetia; Treponematales; Treponemataceae. The record is from RNAcentral.
GGAGAGAUGACCGAGCGGCCGAAGGUGCGCGAUUGGAAGUCGCGUGUACUCCUAAAGGGUACCGAGGGUUCAAAUCCCUCUCUCUCCG